GCCACCAAGAGCGGGCUCCUGACAGGAGCUGCAGCCUGAGGAGAGGAGCCUGCGCUGCAGCGGGGUUGUCCUGGAGGAGCUGCAGGCUGAAGACAGCAGCCACGCUGGAGCAGGGGACGAGUGUGAGGAGGACAGAGCGACAGACAGUGCUCACAUGCCUCAGUUUUGCCACAUAGGAGCCCAGCUGGAUGUGUGCCACAAGCUUGGAAGCAGGUCUUUAGGCCAUGGGGUCUCCUAUCUUUAAAAGACCUUGGCACCAGUGGUAUUAAUGCAGCCCCUGCUGGCUGUGGUUGAGUGGAGAUGAAGCCUGAAGUCCCUGCCGUUGACCUACAAACACGAGCAUAAUUAAGGAUGCAGUGGAACGAAAGCAGCUGCACCACCCAGGAGAGCAUCCACUGUAGACACAGGAGCUAUUUUCUGUACCGCACCCUCUGAAGGGCUCUAGAACAUGAAAAAUGAUGGCUUCAGAGGCAGACAAAGGGGAUGCUGAAUGCAAAAAAAGGCUUUCUCGCUCCAUCUCUCCAGAAGACCCAUGCCUUGUGACAGUGGGAUCAGGGCAGCAGAUGGCAAAGUGCGAACAGCAUGGGAAGUCAUCAGGAGUCCCUGGAAAGUGUAUUUCGGGAAGCUGUGUGGCAAAUCAGGGGACAUUACAGGCAGUACUGAGAGCAAGGCAAUCGUCUGCAUAGCCAUAAAAUAACCUUCACCUUUUCUGGCGGAGACUGACACUGCAGUAAACAAGCUCAAACUGGGGAAGGCACAUGGUAAAUGUUACAGAUGAAGUCAUAAAAGUCUGGCAGCCACGCAGUUCGUGUCCUUCAUAAAAUCUGUGAAGAAGCAAAUGGGAAGCCAGGGACCGGCCAAAGUACCAGCACAAAUCAAUCUACCUUUCACCAUCUAAGGGAAAGAAAAGCAGACCUGAAAAAGACCUGCUGAGCAGAUCUCUUCCCAAAGCCUGUUAAUGCACUGCCACAUGUUACUGGAACUUGCAAAGCAAGAUGGGGUCCAAGAAGAUUGAAUGAGUUGGGACUGGUAGAGGGACAGAAAAACCUUU
Molecule: long non-coding RNA, 1051 nt
Organism: Oxyura jamaicensis (ruddy duck)
Lineage: Eukaryota; Metazoa; Chordata; Aves; Anseriformes; Anatidae
Exons: 4
Source: RefSeq, a predicted model, not a curated record